RNAcentral lists this ribosomal RNA (468 nucleotides) under uncultured bacterium. RNAcentral's name for it is "partial 16S ribosomal RNA". It matches the Rfam family "Bacterial small subunit ribosomal RNA", at positions 28 to 507 of the family's 1533-position model. The record is from RNAcentral.
GACGAACGCUGGCGGCGCGCCUAACACAUGCAAGUCGAACGGAGCUGAGAGAAGCUUGCUUUUCUUAGCUUAGUGGCGAACGGGUGAGUAACGCGUGAGUAACCUGCCCUGGAGUGGGGGACAACAGUUGGAAACGACUGCUAAUACCGCAUAAGCCCACGAUCCGGCAUCGGAUUGAGGGAAAAGGAUUUAUUCGCUUCAGGAUGGACUCGCGUCCAAUUAGCUAGUUGGUGAGGUAACGGCCCACCAAGGCGACGAUUGGUAGCCGGACUGAGAGGUUGAACGGCCACAUUGGGACUGAGACACGGCCCAGACUCCUACGGGAGGCAGCAGUGGGGGAUAUUGCACAAUGGCGGAAACCCUGAUGCAGCGACGCCGCGUGGAGGAAGAAGGUUUUCGGAUUGUAAACUCCUGUCGUGAGGGACGAUAAUGACGGUACCUAACAAGAAAGCACCGGCUAACUACGUG